Molecule: ribosomal RNA, 253 nt
Filed under: uncultured bacterium
Lineage: Bacteria
Description: partial 16S ribosomal RNA
Rfam family: Bacterial small subunit ribosomal RNA
Source: RNAcentral
UACGUAGGGCGCAAGCGUUGUCCGGAAUUAUUGGGCGUAAAGGGCUCGUAGGCGGUCUGUUGCGUCGGCUGUGAAAACCCGGGGCUCAACUCCGGGCCUGCAGCCGAUACGGGCAGACUAGAGUUCGGCAGGGGAGACUGGAAUUCCUGGUGUAGCGGUGAAAUGCGCAGAUAUCAGGAGGAACACCGGUGGCGAAGGCGGGUCUCUGGGCCGAUACUGACGCUGAGGAGCGAAAGCGUGGGGAGCAAACGGG